GUAGCUGAUAAAGUAGAGUGAGUGAUAAGCUUAGACUAGCCAUGUGACCAUGCAUGGAACCAGAAUCAAAUUUUUCCUCAGUCCCAUUCUCAAAUAUCUUAGUUCUGGUUCCAUAUGAUGUUAAUGAAAUCAGUCACUUUACAAGAUUUAUAUAAUAGUUCUAGUCUCAGAUCAUGUUUUAGUUAUAAAUUAUCAGUUCUGAUUCCAUUUGAUUCCAUUUUACAAAAUGGGACCAAACAGGACCAUGAUUUACUCUAUAUAGAUUGGCAGCAUUGAUAGAUUAGCAGUGAUAGAUAGAUUAGCAGAAGUAGAUAGCUUAGCAGCGAGGGAUAGCUUAGCAGCGAGGGAUAGCUUAGCAGCGAGGGAUAGCUUAGCAGUGAGGGAUAGCUUAGCAGCGAGGGAUAGCUUAGCAGUAAGAGAUAGAUUGGCAGCAGCGAUAGAUUAGCAGCAGUAGAUGAAUUGACAGAGGUAAAUUGAUUGACAGCAUU
RNAcentral lists this small RNA (488 nucleotides) under Histoplasma ohiense. RNAcentral describes it as "hypothetical lncRNA". Lineage: Eukaryota; Fungi; Ascomycota; Eurotiomycetes; Onygenales; Ajellomycetaceae. The record is from RNAcentral.